GAUGAACGCUGGCGGCGUGCCUAAUACAUGCAAGUCGAGCGAACAGACGAGGAGCUUGCUCCUCUGACGUUAGCGGCGGACGGGUGAGUAACACGUGGAUAACCUCCCUUUAAGACUGGGAUAACUUCGGGAAACCGGAUCUAAUACCGGAUAAUAUAUUGAACCGCAUGGUUCAAUGGUGAAAGACGGUUUUGCGGUAUCUAUUAGAUGCUUCCGCGCCGCAUUAGCUAGUUGGUAAGGUAACGGCUUACCAAGGCAACGAUGCGUAGCCGACCUGAGAGGGUGAUCGGCCACACUGGAACUGAGACACGGUCCAGACUCCUACGGGAGGCAGCAGUAGGGAAUCUUCCGCAAUGGGCGAAAGCUUGACGGAGCAACGCCGCGUGAGUGAUGAAGGUCUUCGGAGCGUAAAACUCUGUUAUUAGGGAAGAACAAAUGUGUAAGUAACUAUGCACGUCUUGACGGUACCUAAUCAGAAAGCCACGGCUAACUACGUG
RNAcentral lists this ribosomal RNA (497 nucleotides) under uncultured bacterium. Its description in RNAcentral is "partial 16S ribosomal RNA". It matches the Rfam family "Bacterial small subunit ribosomal RNA", at positions 28 to 507 of the family's 1533-position model. The record is from RNAcentral.